Schizosaccharomyces pombe (fission yeast) is the source of this 276-nucleotide non-coding RNA. The record is from the annotation of a GenBank genome assembly. NCBI's taxonomy places the organism in Eukaryota, Fungi, Ascomycota, Schizosaccharomycetes, Schizosaccharomycetales, Schizosaccharomycetaceae.
AAGACGCCGUCAGUUGCAGUACACUUCAUAACAUUAUUUUUUGACCAGGGUGACAUUCACAGGCUCAAAAGAAGGAAAUACCGAACAAUUCAAUCCAACGUGAACUGUUUCUGUAACAGUACUCCCUUAAACAUUCGAUAUAUUUUUCUCGUAGAAAGCUACAUCUUUUUAAAAUACCAAAGUGUCUAACAAUAUUCUAAACUUGUUUUUAAGGAUUGAUUACUUUAUGUGAAUUUAAAUUACCGAGGGCUAUAUGCAAUUCUCGACUUCACUCCG